UACGGAGGGAGCUAGCGUUGUUCGGAAUUACUGGGCGUAAAGCGCACGUAGGCGGCUAUUCAAGUCGGGGGUGAAAGCCCGGGGCUCAACCCCGGAACUGCCCUCGAAACUAGAUAGCUAGAAUCUUGGAGAGGUCAGUGGAAUUCCGAGUGUAGAGGUGAAAUUCGUAGAUAUUUCGGAAGAACACCAGUGGCGAAGGCGACUGACUGGACAAGUAUUGACGCUGAGGUGCGAAAGCGUGGGGAGCAAACAGGG
This 255-nucleotide ribosomal RNA is filed under the name uncultured bacterium. RNAcentral's name for it is "partial 16S ribosomal RNA". It matches the Rfam family "Bacterial small subunit ribosomal RNA", at positions 524 to 777 of the family's 1533-position model. The record is from RNAcentral.